Molecule: ribosomal RNA, 872 nt
Filed under: uncultured crenarchaeote
Lineage: Archaea; Thermoproteati; Thermoproteota
Description: bacterial SSU rRNA
Rfam family: Archaeal small subunit ribosomal RNA
Source: RNAcentral
CCGACUGCUAUCAGAGUGGGACUAAGCCAUGCGAGUCAACAUAGCAAUAUGUGGCAUACGGCUCAGUAACACGUAGUCAACAUGCCCAGGGGACGUGGAUAACCUCGGGAAACUGAGGAUAAACCGCGAUAGGUCAUCACUUCUGGAAUGGGUAAUGACUUAAAUCUAUAUGGCCCCUGGAUUGGACUGCGGCCGAUCAGGCUGUUGGUGAGGUAAUGGCCCACCAAACCUGUAACCGGUACGGGCUCUGAGAGGAGGAGCCCGGAGAUGGGCACUGAGACAAGGGCCCAGGCCCUAUGGGGCGCAGCAGGCGCGAAACCUCUGCAAUAGGCGAAAGCUUGACAGGGUUACUCUGAGUGAUUUCCGUUAAGGAGAUCUUUUGGCACCUCUAAAAAUGGUGCAGAAUAAGGGGUGGGCAAGUCUGGUGUCAGCCGCCGCGGUAAUACCAGCACCCCGAGUGGUCGGGACGUUUAUUGGGCCUAAAGCAUCCGUAGCCGGUUCUACAAGUCUUCCGUUAAAUCCACCUGCUUAACAGAUGGGCUGCGGAAGAUACUAUAGAGCUAGGAGGCGGGAGAGGCAAGCGGUACUCGAUGGGUAGGGGUAAAAUCCGUUGAUCCAUUGAAGACCACCAGUGGCGAAGGCGGCUUGCCAGAACGCGCUCGACGGUGAGGGAUGAAAGCUGGGGGAGCAAACCGGAUUAGAUACCCGGGUAGUCCCAGCUGUAAACGAUGCAGACUCGGUGAUGAGUUGGCUUAUUGCUAACUCAGUGCCGCAGGGAAGCCGUUAAGUUUGCCGCCUGGGGAGUACGGUCGCAAGACUGAAACUUAAAGGAAUUGGCGGGGGAGCACCACAAGGGGUGAAGCCUGCGGUUC